UACGUAGGGGGCAAGCGUUGUCCGGAAUCAUUGGGCGUAAAGAGCGCGUAGGCGGCCCUGUAAGUCCGCUGUGAAAGUCAAGGGCUCAACCCUUGGAUGCCGGUGGAUACUGCAGGGCUAGAGUCCGGAAGAGGCGAGUGGAAUUCCUGGUGUAGCGGUGAAAUGCGCAGAUAUCAGGAGGAACACCGAUGGCGAAGGCAGCUCGCUGGGACGGUACUGACGCUGAGGCGCGAAAGCGUGGGGAGCAACAGG
Molecule: ribosomal RNA, 252 nt
Filed under: uncultured bacterium
Lineage: Bacteria
Description: partial 16S ribosomal RNA
Rfam family: Bacterial small subunit ribosomal RNA
Source: RNAcentral